RNAcentral lists this ribosomal RNA (468 nucleotides) under uncultured bacterium. RNAcentral's name for it is "partial 16S ribosomal RNA". It matches the Rfam family "Bacterial small subunit ribosomal RNA", at positions 28 to 507 of the family's 1533-position model. The record is from RNAcentral.
GACGAACGCUGGCGGCGUGCUUAACACAUGCAAGUCGAACGGAAAGGCCCUGCUUUUGUUGGGUGCUCGAUUGGCGAACGGGUGAGUAACACGUGAGUAACCUGCCCUUGACUUUGGGAUAACUUCAGGAAACUGGGGCGAAUACCGGAUAGGAUCUCCUGCUGCAUGGUGGGGGUUGGAAAGUUUCGGCGGUUGGGGAUGGACUCGCGGCUUAUCAGCUUGUUGGUGGGGUAGUGGCGUACCAAGGCUUUGACGGAUAGCCUGCCUGAGAGGGUGAACGGGCACAUUGGGACUGAGGGACGGCCCAGACUCCUACGGGAGGCAGCAGUGGGGAAUAUUGCACAAUGGGCGGAAGCCUGAUGCAGCAACGCCGCGUGCGGGAUGACGGCCUUCGGGUUGUAAACCGCUUUCGCCUGUGACGAAGCGUGAGUGACGGUAAUGGGUAAAGAAGCACCGGCUAACUACGUG